This 3479-nucleotide long non-coding RNA is filed under the name Citrus x clementina. RNAcentral describes it as "Citrus clementina (C. clementina) long non-coding RNA (CCLE_LNC001326)". Lineage: Eukaryota; Viridiplantae; Streptophyta; Magnoliopsida; Sapindales; Rutaceae. The record is from RNAcentral.
UUUUACUGCAUGAAUUUCUUUCUUCUUGACUAUUUUUCUUUGUCAAUCACGUCCUCAACCCGACGUUGGCUUCCCGCGUCUGCGACACAAUGCAUUUUCAAUUUUUCAUUGCUUUUAAAUAACGCUGUCGUUUUAUUGGCCGCAUUUUCACAGCUUCAUUUUGUCCAUUUUCCCUCCUCCAAUAAAAUCGACAAACUCGUUCAGCACCGGAGACUAAGGUCAGUCAGUCAUCUUCUACUUCCACAAGCUGACUUUAAAUCAAAAUCAAAAUUGGAUUCAGUUUAUGUAUAAUGUAUUUGCAGUUAAUAUUUGACAAAAGCAAUGUGAUUUGCACCACAGUAUUGCCGUGAUAUAAAAUAUUUAGCAUAUGAAUGCUAAUUGAUUGGCUGGUUUUGAGGCAUACAAUUCAUAAAUUUAGUUCGGAUAGUCUUGGUUACAUGUUAGGUUUAUGAAAUAUUGAGAUAGUGGUUUCAAUAUGCCGUCAUAUUCUCAAACAUCUGGUCUGUAUGUGCAAUGAGAUCUGGCUUCCUCUUGCUUUUAGAUUAGACCGUGCAAUCAGAGCUUUCUAUGGAACCUUUCAGGGAUCUGUUGUCAUCAGUAUAUUAGCCAAUGUUUUCCUUCUAUACUAGUAAGCUUAUAUGUCAAACUGUACUUAGUGUGUGUUUGGCGCACCUGAAUAUGAAAAUUAAAUUACUGUAUUUCUUAUUUGUUUCUUUGGAUUUGAUGAUGACUAUUUUUUGGAUAGUUUCUUAGACCACAACGCCUCAGUUUUAAUCUAGAAGCAAAAGUGCACCACCAUAAGAACUGUUGCCGUAUAGUGAUUUCCUCUCACAAAUAUUCAGCAUAUUUUUAUACAAUGUCAUAUAUCUGUCUGUUAAUUGAUCUUCCAAGGUGGAGAAGUUACUAUUUCGUCCAAUGGUAAAAGUCAUAAGCUUCUGAGAGGAAGCAUGUGUGUGUGAGCUUCGAAUUCAAGCUACCUCAUAUGGAAAUGUUGAAUGUUAGGAGCUUGAGACUGUUUUCCCGUAGGAACAACAUUUGGGGUCAUAGACUUGUAAACAUUAAAACUUAGAUUGUAAAAGAUUCUAGGAGACAAGUUGUGGUGAAAUGAGGGACAAAUUAAAAUGAGUAAGUACAUUAAGACUUAGCUGAUUAUACUCAAGUUCGAUUUUGCCAAAAGCAUGCUGUUAAGGCCACUCUCAAUCAAAUCUGGACUGUUAUCUUAGCAACUAAAUCCGGACUGUUAUUCUUAGACAGUUAGUGGCUAAUGAAGUGAAUUUAGGACUAAAGGUCUUGGAUAUUUUUGGCUAUUACUUUCUUCUCUGAUGUUCUUUGUUUAAUUGGUGGUUAAUGGUACUUUUCAUGUCUGAGGGUAAAACCCUUAUAUGUGGCUGCUAGUUGGUGCAAACGGUAACCUUCUUGGGGUACUGCUCACACCAAGGAAGAGGAGGGGAUUGGUUUAUGUUAUAUGUAUCUUAAACAGGAUAAUAAAUUCUAAAAAACAAGCAUCUGAUGUGAAUUCAAAAUAGUUACUGUAAAUAUAAAUCACUGCAGCUACAAAGUGCUUUCACAUUAUUUGUUUGAAAAUUUUUAUGUAUUCUUUUAGAUUUAUCUUAUUAUGCUUAAAAUUCUGGAUCGUUUGCUGUGAUUCCUUUACUUCCUUCAAAAGACAAAAAUGCCAAUAAAUCUUGGCAUAGUGACUCUCUGUGAAGUGUAGUUUACUACCUCUGAUAUCUGUUUCUUUUUAGGGGCUUCAACACAUCUAGUUUGGGUCAUUAUGUGCUUGUGUAAUUUUCUGAUUAUCUGCCUUUAUACAGGCUGACAUGAUAGCUUAAGCAAGAAAAAUUAAUUCUUGUAAUUUUAAUGAUGGGUACUUCUGUAGAAACAGGUUAGUGGACUUUAGAAGUGCUAGGUUGUUGAUCUUCCAGAGUAUUCUAGUUUCUUUUCCUGUGACGUUGUUCCGAAGGUCUCUCACUUGACCUUCUGCAAGUGUACUCCAGCCUUGUUGCUGCAUUAAUGUUCACAUACCCUGUUUUUGACCAGAGUUUUUAAUAACAUGAUAUUUUAUAUGUAUUAUGCUCAACUCUCUCUCUCUCUCUUUUUUCUAUUUUUUUAACUUAAAGCAGUUUAUCUUUCUUUGCUGAUUUCCAAAUUUGUAUGACUAAAAGUUUAGGAUGUCAUAUUAUUAGCAACAAUAACCCAUAAAAGUCUUUCAGUUUUAAGAAUUCUUAACAUUAUCAACACUUAACAUUGAUCUCCCAUUCAAAUUAAACAGUUUUUCUCAUUUUCUCUUACUCUGUUCUUAUGUUAAGUUGUUAAGACAUUAUAAGUUUUUAAAAUUGAGUCCAGACUAUCUGUCUUGGUAAGUAUUUUUUGUUUCUCUCUCUCUCUCUGUAUUAAAGAGAGAAAACAUGAGGGAAAAAAUUAAAAGAGAAAGUUAACUAGUAGUGAUUUUUCUUUAUAUUCUAUUAAUUUACUGCAGCUUUUUAGAAGCCUCCAUAAGAUUCUCAAUUUUAUUUUUACGCAGCCAUCUAACUCUUGCUGUAUUGUAGCCAAAUAAUUGCAUCCAAUUGCGGAUCUUUUUUUUUUUUUUCCGUUUGUUAGUUUGGUUAAAGAAAGCCGGUGAAAGGUCUUUAAAUGUAUAAUAGUAAACGUUUUCUCUUGUGGAGGCAGAAAAAAAUUUGAGGUUUUCUCUUAGUUGGCUUCGACUAAAUAAUUAGUCCUGUUAAGUGGCAUUUUGGGGUUUAUUAUUUUCAGUUGCUGGGUAAACAGCAAGACAAUCCUAAUUUCAUUCGUAAUUUCCAGUAACAGUAAUGGCUCACCUAAACUCAGCCGAGAGAGACACUUCCAGAAAGAAGCAGUUGGCUGCUGUUGCUGCCCACUGGACUCAUGUCAUGCAUCUAGUUGGAUGUUACUACCUGUUGACAGAACGCAGUCGAUUCAACAAUGAGAAUGGAGAGGAUGAUGCAGGGUUCGAAGAGAUAGCGGAGGCAAUCAGAGAAGCAGCAGAUACUACUGCUACAGAAAUUAGGGAGUCAACUAAUCGCACGGUUGAAGCUAUCGGCCAAAAGAUUAUUAAAUAAUGGGUGAGACCUAAUGAAGAGUUUUUCAGGAUGACUACUCUUGCCAUGAAAGAGAAGCAUAAAUCCCCUCGGUGCAAAAUUAUAUGGUGGAUUUCGCUAAGUUCGAUUAUAUGUAGUUGAUGAAAUAGAUUUUGUUAUUUGUUGUACAUAACCCUUCAUCUUUUAGCAACACCGGACCUGCAGCUAGGAUAGCCAAAGGCCUAACUGGGCAUCAGUUUCUAGAGCUCUUUAAACGAAUUAGAUUUUGUCAUUGAAGUUCUAGUAAGUAUAGAGUCGCCACGAAACUCUGAAGACACCUUUUUAAGUUUUUAUUCAUGAACCUUGGUCUCCUGUUUGGCUAAAAAUAUUUAACGUCUGGUUGUCUCAUGUAUUGACAAGACAAGUUUGACACAUUCCGCA